Molecule: ribosomal RNA, 501 nt
Filed under: uncultured bacterium
Lineage: Bacteria
Description: partial 16S ribosomal RNA
Rfam family: Bacterial small subunit ribosomal RNA
Source: RNAcentral
AUUGAACGCUGGCGGCAGGCUUAACACAUGCAAGUCGAGCGGAGAUGAGGUGCUUGCACCUUAUCUUAGCGGCGGACGGGUGAGUAAUGCUUAGGAAUCUGCCUAUUAGUGGGGGACAACAUUCCGAAAGGAAUGCUAAUACCGCAUACGUCCUACGGGAGAAAGCAGGGGAUCUUCGGACCUUGCGCUAAUGGAUGAGCCUAAGUCGGAUUAGCUAGUUGGUGGGGUAAAGGCCUACCAAGGCGACGAUCUGUAGCGGGUCUGAGAGGAUGAUCCGCCGCACUGGGACUGAGACACGGCCCAGACUCCUACGGGAGGCAGCAGUGGGGAAUAUUGGACAAUGGGGGGAACCCUGAUCCAGCCAUGCCGCGUGUGUGAAGAAGGCCUUAUGGUUGUAAAGCACUUUAAGCGUGGAGGAGGCUACUGAGACUAAUACUCUUGGAUAGUGGACGUUACUCGCAGAAUAAGCACCGGCUAACUCUGUGCCAGCAGCCGCAGUAA